CGGACGGGUGAGUAACACGUGGAUAACCUACCUAUAGGACUGGGAUAACUUCGGGAAACCGGAGCUAAUACCGGAUAAUAUAUUGAACCGCAUGGUUCAAUAGUGAAAGACGGUUUUGCUGUCACUUAUAGAUGGAUCCGCGCCGCAUUAGCUAGUUGGUAAGGUAACGGCUUACCAAGGCAACGAUGCGUAGCCGACCUGAGAGGGUGAUCGGCCACACUGGAACUGAGACACGGUCCAG
RNAcentral lists this ribosomal RNA (241 nucleotides) under uncultured bacterium. Its description in RNAcentral is "partial 16S ribosomal RNA". It matches the Rfam family "Bacterial small subunit ribosomal RNA", at positions 99 to 334 of the family's 1533-position model. The record is from RNAcentral. RNAcentral also lists the same sequence under 1 other name.